GGAAGCGUGGCCGAGUGGUUGAUAUAUCCAGUCUUGAAAACUGGCAUACAGGGGAACGUAUAGUGGGUUCGAAUCCCACCGCUUUCGCCA
Molecule: transfer RNA, 90 nt
Filed under: Paracoccus yeei
Lineage: Bacteria; Pseudomonadati; Pseudomonadota; Alphaproteobacteria; Rhodobacterales; Paracoccaceae
Description: tRNA-OTHER
Rfam family: tRNA
About the family: Transfer RNA (tRNA) molecules are approximately 80 nucleotides in length. Their secondary structure includes four short double-helical elements and three loops (D, anti-codon, and T loops).
Source: RNAcentral